RNAcentral lists this ribosomal RNA (1435 nucleotides) under uncultured marine bacterium. Its description in RNAcentral is "bacterial SSU rRNA". It matches the Rfam family "Bacterial small subunit ribosomal RNA". The record is from RNAcentral.
GAGUUUGAUCAUGGCUCAGAACGUACGCUGGCGGCACGCCUAACACAUGCAAGUCGAACGAAGUAGCAAUACUUAGUGGCAGACGGGUGAGUAACAUGUAGGUAUCUACCCUUUGGCCUGGAAUAACACGAGGAAACUUGUGCUAAUACCGGAUAAGUCUUUACGGAGAAAGCUUUAUGCACCAUUGGAUGAGCCUGCACUUGAUUAGUUUGUUGGUGGGGUAAUGGCCUACCAAGACUGUGAUCAAUAGCUGAUUUGAGAGGAUGAUCAGCCACAUUGGGACUGAGACACGGCCCAAACUCCUACGGGAGGCAGCAGUGGGGAAUCUUGCACAAUGGAGGAAACUCUGAUGCAGCGAUGCCGCGUGAGUGAAGAAGGCCUUUGGGUUGUAAAGCUCUUUCGUCGGGGAAGAAAAUGACUGUACCCGAAUAAGAAGGUCCGGCUAACUUCGUGCCAGCAGCCGCGGUAAUACGAAGGGACCUAGCGUAGUUCGGAAUUACUGGGCUUAAAGAGUUCGUAGGUGGUUGAAAAAGUUGGUGGUGAAAUCCCAGAGCUUAACUCUGGAACUGCCACCAAAACUUUUCAGCUAGAGUAUGAUAGAGGAAAGCAGAAUUUCUAGUGUAGAGGUGAAAUUCGUAGAUAUUAGAAAGAAUACCAAUUGCGAAGGCAGCUUUCUGGAUCAUUACUGACACUGAGGAACGAAAGCAUGGGUAGCGAAGAGGAUUAGAUACCCUCGUAGUCCAUGCCGUAAACGAUGUGUGUUAGACGUUGGAAAUUUAUUUUCAGUGUCGCAGCGAAAGCGAUAAACACACCGCCUGGGGAGUACGACCGCAAGGUUAAAACUCAAAUGAAUUGACGGGGACCCGCACAAGUAGUGGAGCAUGUGGUUUAAUUCGAAGAUACGCGCAGAACCUUACCAACACUUGACAUGUUCGUCGCGACUCUAAGAGAUUAGAGUUUUCGGUUCGGCCGGACGAAACACAGGUGCUGCAUGGCUGUCGUCAGCUCGUGUCGUGAGAUGUUGGGUUAAGUCCCGCAACGAGCGCAACCCUCACUUUUAGUUGCCAUCAUUAAGUUGGGCACUCUGAAAGAACUGCCAGUGAUAAGCUGGAGGAAGGUGGGGAUGACGUCAAGUCCUCAUGGCCCUUACGUGUUGGGCUACACACGUGCUACAAUGGUAUCUACAACAGGAAGCAAGGCUGCGAGGUCAAGCAAAUCCUUAAAAGAUACCUCAGUUCGGAUUGCACUCUGCAACUCGAGUGCAUGAAGCUGGAAUUACUAGUAAUCGUGGAUCAGCGUGCCACGGUGAAUGCGUUCCCGGGUCUUGUACACACCGCCCGUCACGCCAUGGGAGUUGGUUCUACCUUAAGGCAAGGUUUAAAACCCUUGACCACGGUAUAGUCAGCGACUGGGGUGAAGUCGUAACAAGGUAACC